ACUAUCUUAGAACAUAGGCUCUGAAGUCUGACCGCCUGUUGAAUCAAGCUCUUACCUCUUACUUCUGUGUGUCCCUGAACAUCUCACUUAACCUUUCUGUGCUUCAGGUCCCUACUUUGAACAGCGCCCCUCUUCUACUGUGAACUACCAUGGGCACUGCGGGGUCAUACACCUGGAGGGGUAACGCCAGAGAAUUACACUCAGGGACCCUAACCCUGAGCCCCAUGGAGCCCUGCGCUGUAAGGAGUUCAAGAGUAUGCUAAUGGUGUUUCACAUGAUGGCCUGUGAAUAUAUGGGAAUGAAAAUUGCUGGGAUCAACUCUGCGAUGUAUGGCCUCUGAUGGGGGCAUUCCAGGCCUGAGAUGAUAAAUUCCUCACGCUGCAGAGGGAGGCUCAGUGUUGUAGAGUUAAAUAAAGAUGAUGCAGCUUCCUGAGGUGGAAGACAGAAACUCGCAUGCUGAGAAGAAGAAACCUGACUCAUUUCUCCUGUCCUGAGGAAUGCUCAAGUUACUUCUUUGAACCCAUCCCACUUCCUGCAACUCCUGUCAUCUUUUCUUUGCCAUUUUGGGUUGCAU
This is a long non-coding RNA of Lontra canadensis (Northern American river otter), 574 nucleotides long. RefSeq lists it as uncharacterized. NCBI's taxonomy places the organism in Eukaryota, Metazoa, Chordata, Mammalia, Carnivora, Mustelidae. The record is from RefSeq and is a predicted model, not a curated record. The transcript is spliced from 4 exons.